AAUGCCCUACUUUGUGCGUGCAAUAUCUGAAGUUUUGAGCCAACAGAUGUUGAAACGGGAGUCCGAUUUCUCGCAAGGGAAUGUAGACCUUACUAGUAUAAGGAAACAGGAAAUUGUGGAAGGGCACCCACCUGUGAGUACAGGUUCAACAAACUUUGGAUACGGACACGGCAAGGCGGGGUUUCU
Molecule: non-coding RNA, 186 nt
Filed under: Desulforamulus aeronauticus DSM 10349
Lineage: Bacteria; Bacillati; Bacillota; Clostridia; Eubacteriales; Peptococcaceae
Description: Desulfotomaculum aeronauticum DSM 10349 6S / SsrS RNA
Rfam family: 6S / SsrS RNA
About the family: E. coli 6S RNA was the first non coding RNA to be sequenced, but its function was unknown until recently. It consists of 184 nucleotides that fold into an extended hairpin structure with a large single-stranded internal bulge.
Source: RNAcentral